UGGGGAAUAUUGCGCAAUGGGCGAAAGCCUGACGCAGCAACGCCGCGUGGGGGAUGAAGGUUCUCGGAUUGUAAACCCCUUUCGACCGGAACGAAUCCCCUCCUGGUAAAUAAUCAGGAGGAUCGACGGUACCGGGAGAAGAAGCCACGGCUAACUCUGUGCCAGCAGCCGCGGUAAGACAGAGGUGGCGAGCGUUGUUCGGAUUUAUUGGGCGUAAAGCGAACGCAGGUGGUUUGGUAAGUCAGGGGUGAAAGCCCACAGCUUAACUGUGGCACUGCCUUUGAUACUGCCUUUCUAGAGUGCAUGAGGGGGAAGCGGAAUUCCGAGUGUAGAGGUGAAAUUCGUAGAUAUUCGGAGGAACACCGGUGGCGAAGGCGGCUUCCUGGCAUGUAACUGACACUCAUGUUCGAAAGCGUGGGUAGCAAACAGG
This 430-nucleotide ribosomal RNA is filed under the name uncultured bacterium. RNAcentral's name for it is "bacterial SSU rRNA". It matches the Rfam family "Bacterial small subunit ribosomal RNA", at positions 355 to 776 of the family's 1533-position model. The record is from RNAcentral.